UCCAAUAAAUAUAUACAUAUAUACAUAUAUGUCGAUAUAAUAAGAACAUUUGAGGAGGAAAAAAAAAAGUGAAAUAUUAAAUUAUAUGAAAAAAGACAAAAUUAAUAUAUUUUGUUUAACAUUAGUUUUUGUGUUUUUNNNNNNNNNNACACAUAUUUAUAUAUACACAUAUUUAUAUACAUAUAUAUAUUUCUAUGUAUACAUGUAUAUAUAAUUUUUCAAAAUAUUAAUUAUAUACCAUCGUAUUUUCUAAUUCCUCUGCGUCUUUGUUUAUUUCUCUUUUUAGAUCAUUAUCCUUAUUAUCAUCGGGAAUGUUGUAUUUAUAUUUCCUCAACCCCAAUUUUAACUUCGUGUCAGCAGUUUAUACCGUUAGGUGCAUUAACUGUUGUAGUCACUGGUUCUACAACGUUUCCAUUAAGUGAGGAUGAUAUAUUUCCGCAUAAACAUAGUGCUAUUUGUGAAAAAUGUGUACAUACUAAAUACAUUAUAGACUAAUAAAAAAGAAAUUUUAAUAUGAAACAAGAUAAUCCAUAUUUUAGACAUAUAUUUAUGUAUCCACAUAAUUAUACCUUUUUUCAUUGCUCUUUUAUUAACAACACAUAAAUGUAUAUAAGCUAUUUUUAUGUUUCAAAUACGUAUAUGUAUUAUGUAGAUAUAUGAACGAAUUUCGGAAAAAAACAAAAAAUUAACUAUUAACGUACUAAAUAAUUUAAACAAUGGAAGAGGGAAAUUCUUUUUUUUUUUUAACACAUAUUUUUAAUGUAUAAAGUGUAUAAUUUUAUUUUGGUUAUUAAUAAAAAGUUCUAUCAAACAGAAAGAACGAAAACA
Molecule: long non-coding RNA, 828 nt
Filed under: Piliocolobus tephrosceles (Ugandan red Colobus)
Lineage: Eukaryota; Metazoa; Chordata; Mammalia; Primates; Cercopithecidae
Description: lncRNA (ENSPTEG00000002949.1)
Source: RNAcentral